Molecule: microRNA precursor, 85 nt
Filed under: Rhizobium sp. BK456
Lineage: Bacteria; Pseudomonadati; Pseudomonadota; Alphaproteobacteria; Hyphomicrobiales; Rhizobiaceae
Description: microRNA MIR1846
Source: RNAcentral
UCGGGCCACCGUCUCCCCGCUGGGGAGAGGGGAGCGGCUGACGUUGCGGCUUCCCCCUUCUCCCCUCGGGGAGAAGGUGCCCGAA